RNAcentral lists this ribosomal RNA (484 nucleotides) under uncultured bacterium. RNAcentral's name for it is "partial 16S ribosomal RNA". It matches the Rfam family "Bacterial small subunit ribosomal RNA", at positions 30 to 523 of the family's 1533-position model. The record is from RNAcentral.
AUUGAACGCUGGCGGCAUGCCUUACACAUGCAAGUCGAACGAUGAAGCUGGAGCUUGCUCCGGUGGAUUAGUGGCGAACGGGUGAGUAACACGUGAGCAAUCUGCCCUUGACUCUGGGAUAACUGCGGGAAACUGUAGCUAAUACCGGAUACUUUCACUGGAAGGCAUCUUCUGGUGAAGAAAGAAUUUCGGUCAAGGAUGGGCUCGGGGCCUAUCAGCUUGUUGGUGAGGUAGUAGGUAACCAAGGCGACGACGGGUAGCCGGCCUGAGAGGGCGACCGGCCACACUGGGACUGAGACACGGCCCAGACUCCUACGGGAGGCAGCAGUGGGGAAUAUUGCGCAAUGGGCGAAAGCCUGACGCAGCAACGCCGCGUGCGGGAUGAAGGCCUUCGGGUUGUAAACCGCUUUCAGCAGGGAAGAAGCGAAAGUGACGGUACCUGCAGAAGAAGCACCGGCUAACUACGUGCCAGCCGCCGCAGUAA